Molecule: ribosomal RNA, 459 nt
Filed under: uncultured bacterium
Lineage: Bacteria
Description: partial 16S ribosomal RNA
Rfam family: Bacterial small subunit ribosomal RNA
Source: RNAcentral
CCUACGGGAUGCAGCAGUGAGGAAUAUUGGUCAAUGGCCGAGAGGCUGAACCAGCCAAGUCGCGUGAGGGAAGACGGCCCUACGGGUUGUAAACCUCUUUUGUCGGGGAGCAAAGCGAACCACGUGUGGUUCAUUUAGACUACCCGAAGAAACAGCAUCGGCUAACUCCGUGCCAGCAGCCGCGGUAAUACGGAGGAUGCGAGCGUUAUCCGGAUUUCUUGGGUUUAAAGGGUGCGCAGGCGGAGGUGCAAGUCAGCGGUCAAAUUUCGGGGCUCAACCCCGUACUGCCGUUGAAACUGCAUCCCUUGAGUGCGCGAGAAGUAUGCGGAAUGCGUGGUGUAGCGGUGAAAUGCAUAGAUAGCACGCAGAACGCCGAUUGCGAAGGCAGCAUACCGGCGCGCAACGGACGCUCAUGCACGAAAGCGUGGGUAUCGAACAGGAUUAGAUACCCGGGUAGUC